CAGCCAGUGCUGCAGGUCAGGGGCCGCCAUCCCCCAGAGCUGCUGUGAGACAUCGACCAGCACAUCAGUGGGCUGCUUUCUGCUGGUUUUAUUUGCAUGUAUUUUGGUCUGUUUCCCUACCUAGAAAAUAAACUCCCUGUGGCAGAAGUUUUAUCUCUCUGCUCCCUUCUUGGUUCCCAGCUCUUGGAACAGAACCAGACUUCUGGCCGGGGCUCAGUCAGUGCUUGCAAGAUGUUUGUUGGCACCAGGCUGUGCCAGGAGAGCAUCAUUAUAAACUGCUGAUCUACUGUUUCUUUGUCAAACGGGAGGAGAUAACAUAAAGGUCAUAAGAAAUGUUUGCAGACGGAGUGAAUGCCUUGAAAGUGCUGCGACCAGGUGCUGACACCCGGAGGUCUGGCUGCUCGAAGUGUUAGCUGACACGGAAGACACACGGACUUUCCCUCCAUUCCCCAAAACUCCCCCUCCCUGACUCGUCAGCUGCAUAAAAACCCUCUCCUUAUCUCUUUGUCAAGGGGAUUUGAGAAAUCUUGCUGUCUUGUCUUCUUGCUUUGGCCAAAUGGAAUAAACCUUUGUCUCCAGA
This 580-nucleotide long non-coding RNA is filed under the name Pan troglodytes (chimpanzee). Its description in RNAcentral is "lincRNA". The record is from RNAcentral. Lineage: Eukaryota; Metazoa; Chordata; Mammalia; Primates; Hominidae.